Small nuclear RNA from Myotis myotis, 107 nucleotides. NCBI's taxonomy places the organism in Eukaryota, Metazoa, Chordata, Mammalia, Chiroptera, Vespertilionidae. The record is from RefSeq and is a predicted model, not a curated record.
GAGCUUGCUCCGGCAGCACAUUCACUAAAACUGGAACGAUACACAGAAGAUUAGCAUGGCCCCCGCGCAAGGAUGACACGCAAAUUCCUGAAGCGUUCCAUAUUUAA